Molecule: long non-coding RNA, 3411 nt
Organism: Chinchilla lanigera (long-tailed chinchilla)
Lineage: Eukaryota; Metazoa; Chordata; Mammalia; Rodentia; Chinchillidae
Exons: 11
Source: RefSeq, a predicted model, not a curated record
CGUAUGAGUUGUUUUUUCUCAAUGAAAGCUUCACUAAAUGGGAUUAGCUGAAUUUUUCCUUUUCCUUUUGGUACUGGGAAUCAAACUCAGGACCUUGCAUUUGACAGGCAGGCACUUGUGCUGCUGAGCUAUAUCCCUGGCCCAGAAUUAAAUGAAUUUUGGCACUUUGUGAUAAGUAGGUGCAUUUUAAGUUGCAGUUUGGUUGCUCCUCUCUGAAAGGUUUGCCAUCACUGCCCUUGACUUAAGUUUAAACUUUGGGUUUGUGUUGGACAAGGUUACUGUUAGGAUUAAUUUUGGGGGGGUUAGGGUUUGGUCUUGGCUAAAGCUAGAACUAGGUGUAGAUCUAGCCCUAGGAUUCCUGUUCAGUCAAGGUUAGUGUAAUGGCAGAGUUAAUGCUCUGGUAUAAUUAGUCUCCCACUGACGUUAGGGCUAGGGUUUGUUUAGUGUUACCAUUAGAGCAAUGAUUCUACUAAGGCUAUGCUUAUGGUUAGUGAGAGGGCCGAAUCUAGUAACAGGAAUGAGGAUAGAUCUAAGUUUCCGUCAUGGCUAGGAUAGGAUUAGGUGUAGGGUUGGUGUUAGUGCUAGAGUUAUGUUUACAGAUAGGACUAGGGGUAGUGUUAGGAUUAAUGUGGGGGAUAAGGCUUGGGUUAGGCUUAGUGUUAGUUGUAGGUUAGAGUUAGGGUUAUGUUUAGCAGUAGAGUUCCCCCAAGGUAUGAAUAGGACAGGGAUACAGUUAUGCGCAAUGUUAGAGUUAAGGUCAGGGUUCGCUUUAGGGUUCCACCAGGCUUGGGAGUAGUUUUAGGUUUAAAUUUGGGUUUAGGCUUAUGGUAAGUUUUAGGUGUAUGGUCAUGGUUAUGGUUCCACCAGCAUUAGGACUAGUGUCAUUUUGGUGUUCAUCCUAGGGCCAGGAUAGUGCUAUGGCUAUGGCCUGAGUUAGGUGUAGGCCUAGAGUUUAGUCAGGUUUAGUUUUAGGAUAACUCCUGCUAUGGUUAUUUUUCUUGUUAGGAUUAGGACUAAUUUUAAGGAUAGUGCAAAGUGUGUGUGUAGAGCGAAUGCUAGGAUUACAUCUCGUUUUCACAUAUAGGUAGGGUGACUUUUAUGGUUAGGGUUAGGGGUAUUUUCAGGUUUGGGAUAGAAUCAGGUUGACUUUACCACCUUUUUAGGGUUAGGUUUAUGGUUAAAGUUAGGUUGAGGCCCCACUCCAAGACUGACCCCCCUGAGCAACCCACACCCAGGCGCUGCUGCCACCAGGUGACUGUACACACCCAGCCAUGGGGAGCCAGAGUGGGACAGAGAGGCCUGUGUGUCUUGCCUCUGGCCACCACCACCACCAGAAGCGAAGCAUGCAUUUCGCCAGCCAGAGAGGACUGGCCCAGACCGACUGAACUGAUCAUCCUCCUUCCAGCCAAUGUUGCUGGUACCUUUUCCUGGAGUCUGCUCAGUUCAGACUAACUGAGAUGACAAUCAAAAGACCCCUCUCACUGAAAAGAAACUAACACCCAUGAGGAGAGUUUUGCUUCAGGACUGAAGGAGUUACCCUGCCACAGAGACCAGAUUUCCUGGGGACCAUAAAAAAUUAAAAAUGGACAUACAUACAUGGCAAUGUGGGAAAGCCAGAGAACAGAAGAGCCUGAAAGCCAUCUGAGUCUCCUAGGGCAGAUCAAGGGGACAGAAAUUGAGAAGAAAUCAAAUACCAGGACCCUAACAACAUGAAACCUCCACCAAGGAGCUGAGCACUGGCAGUGUCUCUGAGUGACCACAAGAGAGCAGCUGAGAGAGUUUCUGGAAAAGAACAGCCUUGGUGAUCUUGCAGUAGGGCAGAAGAAGAAAAAGGUUAAAAAUAGCAGUCACCCUGGUACAGCCACUGCUGGUGAUUGUCAUGCAGCCGAGGAAGCCUGAAGACACUGCUCCUGCACGACCUUCUGCCUUUGACACCGCGUCACCUGGUGGUGUCCCUCCCCCAGGAGCUGCUCUCACUGGUGGCAUCACUUCAGAACCAUGAUGCUGCCUGUGAUCCUAAUCGCACUGAUAAAAGCAAGUGAAUGUGCCCUACUGGACAGCAGUCACUAGGCUAAGGGAUGGCGCUGAAGAGCCAGGUCCCAGGGUCUGCAGCAGCAGGAGACUGGCUCCUGUCCCACCUGUGGCAAGCACCCGGAAGCCACCAAGCAGCAGAAGUAGCAGCCAUCCCAGCUGAGCCUCCGCGCUCUGCCUUGGCAAGAACAUGAAGGGAACGAGGAGGAAAGGCCUGCCCGACGUGGGCCAGCGUGAGCACCCCUGAGGCCAGGCAGCAUUUUAAUGAAGGUCUUGCCACUGCCCAGGAUGCGCUCAUUUGUCUGCAUUGGCAGCUGAGGGAGCAGAAGCAUCAGUGCCAGUACCUGGCUUGCCUGGCAGUCCUGACCUAGGGCGAGCCCGAGAAGGAGGCACUGGCCCCGGGACAGAGGAUGACUGCAUGUCUGGGGAAAGGCACCAGGCCCGACAGGAGGCCACGGCAAAGCUGCAGUUAGGGGCUGACUACGUGGUCUACAGUGAAAGCUGCUGCCCUAGAGAAGCUUAGGAAGACCCUGGAUGGACCCUGUGAUUCCCAUUGCAAGGACCGGGAACAAAUCAAGAGCAGAGUGAUUUGAGAGACCAGCCUCCUUCACCAAGAUGUUUGUGGACAGCUGUCCAUUUCUACUCACAUAUCUACGUCUCCCUUUCUGUCCUGUCUGGUCUCCCUCCCUGUAAGCAAUUGUUGCUCUGUCAGUUAACCUGCAACUGCCAUCCUAGGAGGCAGAGUAAAAAAACGUUGGCUUGCAUAGUUUGGUUUUACGUUAAAGAAUAGUGCGAAUCAUUGGAUCACUCAAGUCUCACCAUGGCUUGACCCCACUUGUUUUUUUUUGUUUUGUUUUGAUUUGUUUUGUUUUGUUUUUAGUACUUUCCUUAUUAUGGCAAGAAUGCGUUCAGGUGAAUACAGAAUACAUAUGACAGAAGACUGUACACAUGGUCCAAAUUUCCCCGAUUCCCAUUUUCCCAGGCCCACGCUUGUUACCUUACUUUCAUAUUUUAUUAUUAGUAGCUCUCAAUAGUUUCCUUAUAGUCUUACAUUGAAUUUAUUAAUAGGAACAACUGACUGUUUUGACUUCUUUUAUGAAUAAGUUUUAUUUCCCAUAGCAUAUUGUCCUUUUCCUCUUUCUACCUCAUGAAAUGUGUUGUGUGUUAAUUUAAAUUUGGCCAUAUUCAUAAAAGGAGAGGGGUGAUGGUUAGUAGACAAGAGGAUGGGGAGUAGGGAAGAAAAGGAAGUAAAAGGGAGGGUAAUUGUGGGGUUAGAUAUCAUCAAAAUACGUGACAUGCACCUAGGAAAAUACCACAUUCAAACCCAAUGUUGAGUAAAAGUGUAUGCACGAAUAAAAACUUAAUGAAACGUAGUUAAAA